UGACGACCAUAGCAUUGUGGACCCACCUGAUUCCAUGCCGAACUCAGAAGUGAAACGCAAUAGCGCCGAUGGUAGUGUGGGGCUUCCCCAUGUGAGAGUAGGACAUCGUCAGGCU
This 115-nucleotide ribosomal RNA is filed under the name Vibrio sp. THAF190c. The record is from RNAcentral. Lineage: Bacteria; Pseudomonadati; Pseudomonadota; Gammaproteobacteria; Vibrionales; Vibrionaceae.